This 700-nucleotide ribosomal RNA is filed under the name Klebsiella oxytoca. RNAcentral's name for it is "bacterial SSU rRNA". It matches the Rfam family "Bacterial small subunit ribosomal RNA", at positions 41 to 729 of the family's 1533-position model. Lineage: Bacteria; Pseudomonadati; Pseudomonadota; Gammaproteobacteria; Enterobacterales; Enterobacteriaceae. The record is from RNAcentral.
GGCAUGGCGCAGCUACACAUGCAGUCGAACGGUAGCACAGAGAGCUUGCUCUCGGGUGACGAGUGGCGGACGGGUGAGUAAUGUCUGGGAAACUGCCUGAUGGAGGGGGAUAACUACUGGAAACGGUAGCUAAUACCGCAUAACGUCGCAAGACCAAAGAGGGGGACCUUCGGGCCUCUUGCCAUCAGAUGUGCCCAGAUGGGAUUAGCUAGUAGGUGGGGUAACGGCUCACCUAGGCGACGAUCCCUAGCUGGUCUGAGAGGAUGACCAGCCACACUGGAACUGAGACACGGUCCAGACUCCUACGGGAGGCAGCAGUGGGGAAUAUUGCACAAUGGGCGCAAGCCUGAUGCAGCCAUGCCGCGUGUAUGAAGAAGGCCUUCGGGUUGUAAAGUACUUUCAGCGGGGAGGAAGGUGUUGAGGUUAAUAACCUUGUCGAUUGACGUUACCCGCAGAAGAAGCACCGGCUAACUCCGUGCCAGCAGCCGCGGUAAUACGGAGGGUGCAAGCGUUAAUCGGAAUUACUGGGCGUAAAGCGCACGCAGGCGGUCUGUCAAGUCGGAUGUGAAAUCCCCGGGCUCAACCUGGGAACUGCAUUCGAAACUGGCAGGCUAGAGUCUUGUAGAGGGGGGUAGAAUUCCAGGUGUAGCGGUGAAAUGCGUAGAGAUCUGGAGGAAUACCGGUGGCGAAGGCGGCCCCC